This 253-nucleotide ribosomal RNA is filed under the name uncultured bacterium. RNAcentral describes it as "partial 16S ribosomal RNA". It matches the Rfam family "Bacterial small subunit ribosomal RNA", at positions 524 to 776 of the family's 1533-position model. The record is from RNAcentral.
GACAGAGGGUGCAAACGUUGUUCGGAAUUACUGGGCGUAAAGCGCGUGUAGGCUGCUCCGAAAGUCGGAUGUGAAAGCCCUGGGCUCAACCUAGGAAGUGCAUUCGAAACUUCGGAGCUGGAGUUCUGGAGAGGAAGGCGGAAUUCUCGGUGUAGAGGUGAAAUUCGUAGAUAUCGGGAGGAACACCAGUGGCGAAGGCGGCUCUCUGGACAGGUACUGACGCUGAGACGCGAAAGCGUGGGUAGCAAACAGG